This 3207-nucleotide unclassified non-coding RNA is filed under the name Leishmania donovani. RNAcentral's name for it is "gene:LdHU3.34.5930(CDS-product:DnaJ_domain_contai ning_protein_putative)". The record is from RNAcentral. Lineage: Eukaryota; Euglenozoa; Kinetoplastea; Trypanosomatida; Trypanosomatidae.
GAAAAGGCGGGCCCCGUGUCCUCCGCCUAUUGGGAGCCACUGCCCUCUCUCUUCCCUUUGCAUCCUCGUACGCCGUUUGUGCGCGUGGCCUGAUCCGUUUGUUCGUGCCUUCGCUGCUGCUCGUCUCGCUCUUCAUGCACCGCGCCACACACGGCUCCUCUCGUACCUCGUGUGUCCGAAGUGCAGCACUAGCCGACGUGCCAGCGGCGGCAACGCUGGCCAACGCGCGACACAUUUCAGAGACCUACCCGCGACUCGUCUCUCCUUCAGUGACACUACCGGAGUUGCGACCGCCAGCGCCGAUCCUGCGUAGCGGCAAUUCCAACGCAGGCGCGAAGCUGCCGGAAUCCAGCAGAGUCGUAGAAGAGACGCGGUGCGCGAUCCGAAAGGCACCCCGUGAGGUCGAAUUUCCGGUUGCAGAGGAUCGGCCGUGCCUUCCGUUCCCACUAGAGCCCAUCAAGUCUACUUCACCGCCCUUCACUACAAGCAAGCUGGCCAGCAGUGACGAUCCUGCGACGCUGGUUCUGAAGAAGGGCGUGCCCGAGCCGCAGAAGGAGUUUCACCUCUGCCACACCGGCACCGUGGAGUCGCUGCUGUCGCGGCAGCAGUACGUCGAUGUGUACUUUGUUGCCUCUUCCCUUCUCACUAUCCGCAAUGGGGCGGCCAGGGUGGAGGCGGGGGGAGAAAAAUGCCGUCUGCACCUUCUCAGCCACCGCUGCCUCUGCAGCUAUGCCUUGCUGCGGUUCAAGGAGUGCUGCGAGGACGGCACAGCUACUCUGGCACUUUACCGACACUUGCAAGGCGACAGCAGCUUCUCGUCGCGCGGCAUGCCUGAUGAGGUGCUGCAUAGCCGUGUCGUACAAGCACUGCUAGGCGCGCUUGUCAUGCGCGAGCUGUACAGCGAUGCAGCAGUGCUGAUGGCGAGUGUGCCGACUGUGCUGAGCGCUGGAGGCGAUACGCCGUCGAAAGAAUUCGGCGGCAUACCGUCGCUGCCGCUCUUCGCAACACGGCAAGACACCCUAUCGUCUUUGGCGUCCUUUCGCCAGUGCGUGGCGGCGCGGCGUUGGGUGGAGGCCGCGCAGAUCAUCGACAGUAGUACGACCGCACAGAGUUGGGUGCAGGCGACUCCGUUGUGCGCCAUGCUUGCUUUCGUUAGACUCGAGAUGGACGACCCGAAGGCGGCCCGAGGACUGCUGCUGCCCUACCUCGCUUCUCUCCCUGAGCCGCCGCCGUGGGAGGUGCUCUCUACCGCGCCCGUCGAGCACGCGCAGCUCUGGGACAAUUUCAUCUCUCACUAUGUUUUCUCCACGACUCUGCUCGCCAAGGCUUCGUUCAUGUCUGGCAGUGCGUACCUCAACAUAUCUGCGGCUCUGCUGCAGCGUGCACUGAGACUCAGCCCCUCUUACGCGCCGGCACGCCUGUUUGCCGAGUUUGUACUCUCAUUCGAGGCACAGCGGCAGCACGUCGAUGCUGCCAUGUCUGCCAGCGACUACCCAAAGGCGCUGUCGGUGACGGCUGAGAUGCUGCGCAUGCCAGAGGUCACAAGGCUUGUGCACGCCGAGCUCUAUCUGGUGCGCACCCAGGCCCAGUGGAUGCGCGGACAGCCGCUGGAGGUGGUGCACGAAGCCUCGCGGUGCGUGCAGUGUGACCCGCAAUGUGCACUCGCGUUUCGGUUACGGGCCGACGCCUUUGCGAUGAUGAGCAGAGAGGCUGAGGCGGCUGCAGACCUCGCCGUAUCGAAGCAUCUGAACGUGAGGGUCGGCGCUCUCUUUGAUGAGCUGCGGGUGCAGCGUUCGCGCUACAACGCCGCACAGGUGGAAGCAGAGGUAAAGAGGAACUCUGCGCCGGUAUUCAAAUCGUUCCCAUCAGCGUCAGCACCGCUGCGUUCGUCACCGAGGGAGAGCUUCUGCAGCAACACCCGCAGAUCGGGUGCCCGGGAGCGGAAGUUUACCGACGCGGAGCUUCCGCCAUCACUGCGGACGCACUACGACGUCCUGGGCGUCUCCAGCAACGCCUCCGCGGCUGAGAUCCGAAGGCGCUAUCGACGACUCACCCUUCAGCUGCACCCAGACCGACUCGUCGGUGCAGCGGAGAGCGAUCGGCGAGCCGCGCUCGAGGCAUUCCAGCUUCUGGGAAACGCCUACAGCGUUCUCUCCGACACGCAGCUUCGUGCCACCUACGAUGCCGGACUGCCCAGCCUCCAUUGACGAUGUACAGCAGGUGUUCUCACCUGUUCCUUCUCUUUUCGAUAUUGGUGUGGCUCCCAAUCGGCUUCGAAGUCCACUGGUGCGAGCGCUAUGCGCGCGAGUUGUCAAGCAUGGCCGGUGUGGUGUUUCGCCUCCGAGCAAGGCUUGAAGUGGUGCGAAGAGCAAUUGGGAUGAGCGAACGAGGCGCGGAGAGAUGCUUCCCGAUCAACGCCACAGUGCACGUGUGCAACAGGUGGCCCUAUUUCCUCCCGCCGAUCGGUGUGCGCUGAUGAGGCGCAGAUGCCGGAAGCAUGACGAGAGCACCCCCGAGGCUGCACCACCGAGUCCACCAGACUUCCAUGUGGAACGCCUCCACACCACAUUGUGAAAAGUAGCGGCUUGAAGCGACUCAGAGGGCUAUGCAUAGCACACAGAACCGUAGUCCGAGGCCUCAGAAGGCCCUGACCUGAGGGUGGCUGACCCACUCCGUUGAGGUCACCCGACAUGCGGCUGGGCCCCUUCCAUAUCACCCGCACGUCAGAGACGCCAUCGUCUCCUGCUCUCGAGCCGGACCCUGCACGCGGCCCGCCUGGAUCAAGGCAUGCAGUGCAGGUGGGUGCACCUGGCGCCGACCGCGCAACACGUAUGCAAUGAAGAGGCAAGGGAACAAACGAAGUGCCGACUGGAUGUGUCGGCCCGAUCCAAAAAAAAAACAGACGGCUGGCCGUCGAGAACGAUGAUGCAGCCGCAGUACCACAUGGGGUAGGGCGAGCGGUGGUAGCGUGCGUAUACUCCGUGACGUGUUCGCGGGUCAAAUCGACACGCUGAGGAGACAGAAGCGUUGCGGCGAUGUUCUUUUUUUUUUCUUUCGAAUCCGUUUUUUAGCCUUUUCCUUUGGAACUGCAAGUGUAUCUUGUUUUUGUGUGUGCGUGUAUUCACCUGAAGUGCUUAAGUGCUUCACCGCUGCGGCUGCUAUGCCGGUCACGCCCCCUUUCCUUCCCUUUGAUAUGUGGCCAAGACG